This 406-nucleotide ribosomal RNA is filed under the name uncultured bacterium. Its description in RNAcentral is "partial 16S ribosomal RNA". It matches the Rfam family "Bacterial small subunit ribosomal RNA", at positions 30 to 526 of the family's 1533-position model. The record is from RNAcentral.
AUUGAACGCUGGCGGCAGGCCUAACACAUGCAAGUCGAACGAGUGGCGGACGGGUGAGUAAUGUCUGGGAAACUGCCCGAUGGAUGGGGCUAACUACUGGAACCGGUAUCUAAUACCGCAUACCAUCGGAUGUGCCCAGAUGGGAUGAGCUAGUAGGUGGGGUAACGGCUCACCUAGGCGACGCUCCCUAGCUGGUCUGAGAGGAGGACCAGCCACACUGGAACUGAGACACGGUCCAGACUCCUACGGGAGGCAGCAGUGGGGAAUAUUGCACAAUGGGCGAAAGCCUGAUGCAGCCAUGCCGCGUGUAUGAAGAAGGCCUUCGGGUUGUAAAGUACUUUCAGCGGGGAGGCGUUACCCGCAGAAGAAGCACAGGCUAACUCCGUGCCAGCCGCCGCGGUAAUUC